AGAGUUGUAUCCUGGCUCAGGAUGAACGCUGGCGAGAUGCUUUACACAUGCAAGUCGUACGAGAGUUUUUAACUCAAGUGGCGGACGGGUGAGUAACACGUAAGAAUUUACCUUUAGGAGGGGGAUAACAACUGGAAACGGUUGCUAAUACCCCAUAUGCUUUUGAGUGAAAUGGAUUUUUCCGCCUAGAGAGAAGCUUGCGGCUGAUUAGCUUGUUGGUAAGGUAAUGGCUUACCAAGGCGACGAUCAGUAUCUGGUUUGAGAGGAUGAUCAGACACACUGGAACUGAGACACGGUCCAGACUCCUACGGGAGGCAGCAGUGGGGAAUUUUCCGCAAUGGGCGAAAGCCUGACGGAGCAAUCUCGCGUGAGGGAUGACGGCCUAUGGGUUGUAAACCUCUUUUUUCAGGGAGGAAUCAAUGACGUGUACCUGAAGAAUAAGCAUCGGCUAACUCCGUGCCAGCAGCCGCGGUAAGACGGAGGAUGCAAGUGUUAUCCGGAAUCACUGGGCGUAAAGCGUCUGUAGGUGGUUUAAUAAGUCAACUGUUAAAUCUUGAAGCUCAACUUCAAAAUCGCAGUCGAAACUAUUAGACUAGAGUAUAGUAGGGGUAAAGGGAAUUUCCAGUGGAGCGGUGAAAUGCGUAGAGAUUGGAAAGAACACCGAUGGCGAAGGCACUUUACUGGGCUAUUACUAACACUGAGAGACGAAAGCUAGGGUAGCAAAUGGGAUUAGAUACCCCAGUAGUCCUAGCCGUAAACAAUGGAUACUAGAUGUUGAACAGAUCGACCUGUGCAGUAUUAAAGCUAACGC
RNAcentral lists this ribosomal RNA (811 nucleotides) under uncultured Cyanobacterium sp. RNAcentral describes it as "bacterial SSU rRNA". It matches the Rfam family "Bacterial small subunit ribosomal RNA", at positions 8 to 858 of the family's 1533-position model. Lineage: Bacteria; Bacillati; Cyanobacteriota; Cyanophyceae; Chroococcales; Geminocystaceae. The record is from RNAcentral.